Oncorhynchus kisutch (coho salmon) is the source of this 240-nucleotide long non-coding RNA. RefSeq lists it as uncharacterized. NCBI's taxonomy places the organism in Eukaryota, Metazoa, Chordata, Actinopteri, Salmoniformes, Salmonidae. The record is from RefSeq and is a predicted model, not a curated record. The transcript is spliced from 3 exons.
AAUGUGAAAAUAUAGAAAAACCCUGGAAUGAGGUGUCUCAACUUUUGACUGCACCCCCCAGACGAUCCCGCAGGGGAAGAAACCAGAUGUGGAGGUCUUGGGCUGGUGACGUUGGAGGCCGUUUAUGGUAGAAAAAAAUACAUCAAAUUAUCUGGCAACAGCUCUGAAGGACAUUCCUGCAGUCAGCAUGUCAAUUGCAUGCUCCCUCAAAAUUCGCUGUUUGUUUCUAGUCCUCCUGGU